AUUAUUUAAUAUGUAAAUAUUACAUUAAAAAUUUAUUUGCAGUUUUUAGUUUUAAAACAUUAUUUAAGUAAGUUUUAGUAAUUAAUUAUAGAUUUAAUAAAAUUUGUGCCAGCAAUUGCGGUUAUACAAAUAAUUCAAUUGAAAUUUAUUGGUUAAUAAUUAAUUUGUUUUAAUUAAUUUAUUAUUAAAAUUUUUAAGUGAAAUUUAAAUUUUAAUAUAAUUUUUUUGUUUAUAUUUGAAGUUAUUAAAAUUAAUAUUAAACUAGGAUUAGAUACCCUAUUAUUAUAAUUGUAAAGUUUAAAUACCAGAUUAGUAUUAGUUGUUUUCUUAAAAAUUAAAGGAUUUGGCGGUAUUUUAGUCUAUUCAGAGGAACCUGUCCUGUAAUCGAUAAUCCACGAUUAGAAUAACUUUUCUUUUUCUUGUAUAUCGUUGUUUUUGAAUAUUUUAUAAGAAUUUAAAUUUUCAAUAAGUAUAUUUUAGUUAAUUUCAGAUCAAGGUGCAGUUUAUAGGAAAGAAGAUGAUGGGUUACAUUAAAUUUAUUUUUGGUUUAAUAUUUUGAAUAAUAUUAUUAAAUUGGAUUUGAUAGUAAUAUUUUAUAUAUUUAUUAUAUGAUUUUAGCUCUAAAAUGUGUACAUAUUGCCCGUCGCUCUCAUUUAUUUGAGAUAAGUCGUAACAAAGUAGAUUUACUGGAAAGUGAAUCUAGUAU
Molecule: non-coding RNA, 706 nt
Filed under: Abscondita chinensis
Lineage: Eukaryota; Metazoa; Arthropoda; Insecta; Coleoptera; Lampyridae
Source: RNAcentral